Long non-coding RNA from Hordeum vulgare subsp. vulgare (domesticated barley), 1050 nucleotides. RefSeq lists it as uncharacterized. The record is from RefSeq and is a predicted model, not a curated record. NCBI's taxonomy places the organism in Eukaryota, Viridiplantae, Streptophyta, Magnoliopsida, Poales, Poaceae. The transcript is spliced from 2 exons.
CCCCCUCUCCAUCUCCUUCAGUAGCCAGUUGCCCAGUUCUUCUCUCCUCUGCCUAUAUCUUCUUCUAGCUUCUUGCUUCCACUAUGUCCAUCCAUGGGGUAGUAGCUUCACCGAUCUUUUGCUGCUGGGUUUGUUUGGACUGCAAGUCCAGGUUGAAGUUAGGUUAAGGGGGUUGUUGUCUGGUUCAAGGUCUCCACAUACAUCAUAUACAUGGAGAGCAUGGUAUGGAUUGUACGUUUUGGAGAUCUCGGACCAGGCUUCAAUCCCUUUAACCAGCAUCUGCGCAAUUCGUACGCCUCAUGCAUAUGAUAGUUCCAGCGGCAGUGGCUUGCUUCUUAUGUCAGCAUAUGUGUGGACUGGCUCGACACUCAUGUAUGACAAAGGAAUGGGGAAUGGCUGGCCAGGCUCAUUACUUGGCUCACGUGGCUGCUGUGAGAGAGAUGACAUGCACAGUACUGCUCCUCUUGUUGCAUCUGAGCGGCGUGCGAUCGAUCGAUCCCAUUCGCUGCCUGUUCUCUCUGGGAGUUUUGUAAUUCCACCCGUCUGCAAAUCGCAGGACUACAUAGUUGUACACAUGCUGGUGACCUUGUGCAUUAACUUUCGUAUGCAGGUUGAAGCGCUUCUCGUGACAGUUACUGGAUUGGUCACCGAAUUGUUUUUACCAUUAUAUUAUACUCCUACAGCUUAUAAUUCUGAAACAUACAAUUAUGCAAAUAUUAUAUAAAAUCAAACUAAUGGUACAGCCGAUAAUGCAGUUUGUAGCUAGACCGGAAUAAUUUGACCUAAUUAUAUUUCCAUUUCCACAUUAGUGUAACUAGCUCAACAUAUAUACCCUCGGUAUAUGCAUGGAGUGAUUUGAAUUGUUCUAUAAUUUUUACUAGCAUAUAUAAAUUGUUUUGUUUACAUUGCGUACCGUAAAUAUUACUUAGAGUAGAGUGGGACUAUUUUUACAAUAGCACCUUUGCAACGGCUUGCUUCCACUUGCAGAGCUAGCGUCCAAUGUUCAUGUCACUGAUCAAAUUAAUUGAUAUACAUGUGAUGCAUACAGUA